AACAUCGCGCACCUGCGGGAACCUGCGGAAGGAUCAUUACCGAGUUUACAACUCCCAAACCCCUGUGAACAUACCUAUACGUUGCCUCGGCGGAUCAGCCCGCGCCCCGUAAAAAGGGACGGCCCGCCCGAGGACCCCUAAACUCUGUUUUUAGUGGAACUUCUGAGUAAAACAAACAAAUAAAUCAAAACUUUCAACAAUGGAUCU
This 207-nucleotide unclassified non-coding RNA is filed under the name soil metagenome. RNAcentral describes it as "partial contains 5.8S ribosomal RNA, internal transcribed spacer 2, and large subunit ribosomal RNA". The record is from RNAcentral.